RNAcentral lists this long non-coding RNA (1035 nucleotides) under Anas platyrhynchos platyrhynchos (common mallard). Its description in RNAcentral is "lncRNA (ENSAPLG00000018354.1)". The record is from RNAcentral. Lineage: Eukaryota; Metazoa; Chordata; Aves; Anseriformes; Anatidae.
AUUGAUUCUGUUAUUUGGUACUGAGCACUCAAGUUAGGAGUGGUAAAAAAACACUGCAGUCUCUCAUACAUUUUUUUUUGUUUUUUUAAACUUUUUUUUUAAAAACUUACAUUUUCGAGCAGACAAACUGCCGCAGGGUUUCCACAAAACGGCCGGUUUGUAAAAGCAUCAACCGUAAAAAUAGGAAUCUGCAUUGCUGCUUGCGCCUAUUUAGCUUUACGCUGAUUACCUCAGGGUGCUUUCUAACCCGUUCUACCCCGUGAAGGGAGCCCAACUCUGAAGUUAAUGUUUCCCUAUCGACAGGAGGAGCCAGCGGGGUGCUGCUCGUCACUUCCGAGCACAUAGAGGGCGCCCAACGGCGGCUUGGAUUCAUGACGGCAGAUUUUAACCUCUGUGUGGCGUCCUGCCUCCCUAACCCACGGCGGGAGGGACACACGCCCGACAACCCGACCGGCCACGGCCGCCUGAGAGAGGCGAUACCCGCGCCGAGGCGACGGCAGCGCUGAGGCGAUGCCCGCGUGAGGCGAUGCCCGCGUGAGGCGAUGCCCGCGCGACCGUUAGGGGCGCACGCGCCCCUCUCUGAGAGACUUGGCGCCAAGCCGCCGCCGAGCCCGCCCGGCGCAGCGCGCAUGCGCCCCGGCGCCCCUCAGCCACCCUCGGGAGAGGAGCGAGCGGGCGCUCCCCUCCCGUCCCCGCCGCGCCGCGCAUGCGCAGUUGCCGCUGCUCGCCGCCGGCCGCGCAUGCCCGUGUGCCGCCCGGGCGGGGCUGAGGGGAGCGCGGCGCCGCUGUCGCGAUAGUUGCGCGCUCGGGGCCGCCAUCGCGCCUCGGCUGCUCGCGUCGCUUCGGAGCCCGGCGGCCGGUCGGGAGCGCGGAGGAGCUUCCUGCGCGGCGGGACGGAGCUGCCGCUGCCGGGGGCGCGCCUGAGGGCUGUGCGAGCGGCUGCCGGUGAGCGGCGGGGCGGCGGGAGGGCAGCGCUCGCCUCAGCGGAGCCCGCCGGGACCGCCCGGGGAGGAGGCGGCGGCGGCAGCGCCCCCG